CUUCCGCGUGAGUGAAGAAGGCCUUCGGGUUGUAAAGCUCUUUUGUCCGGAACGAAACGGCUAGCGUGAACAUCGCUGGCUAAUGACGGUACCGGAAGAAUAAGCACCGGCUAACUACGUGCCAGCAGCCGCGGUAAUACGUAGGGUGCGAGCGUUAAUCGGAAUUACUGGGCGUAAAGCGUGCGCAGGCGGUUUUGUAAGCCAGAUGUGAAAUCCCCGGGCUUAACCUGGGAAUGGCAUUUGGGACUGCAAGGCUGGAGUGCGGCAGAGGAGACUGGAAUUCCCGGUGUAGCAGUGAAAUGCGUAGAUAUCGGGAGGAAUACCGAUGGCGAAGGCAGGUCUCUGGGCUGACACUGACGCUCAUGCACGAAAGCGUGGGGAGCAAACAGGAUUAGAUACCCUGGUAGUCCACGCCCUAAACGAUGUCGACUGGUUGUUGGGGGUUUGACACUCUCAGUAACGAAGCUAACGCGUGAAGUCGACCGCCUGGGGAGUACGGCCGCAAGGUUA
This 510-nucleotide ribosomal RNA is filed under the name uncultured Pseudomonadota bacterium. RNAcentral describes it as "bacterial SSU rRNA". It matches the Rfam family "Bacterial small subunit ribosomal RNA", at positions 394 to 896 of the family's 1533-position model. Lineage: Bacteria; Pseudomonadati; Pseudomonadota. The record is from RNAcentral.